GUUGAAAUUGUGAGAAUUUUGCUUGAGAAUGAUCCAUUGGUUGCUUACAAGACAAAUUUGUGGGAUAAGAGUGUGUUUCAUGUAGCAUGUGAGAGAGGGAGGAUUGAAGUGGUUAAACAUUUCUUACAUAAUAAUAUGCACAUGUUGUUGAUGCUUGAAGUUGAUAUGUCUACUACUUCACUACAUGUUGCAGCUUCAUCAGGCGAUACAGAAGUA
RNAcentral lists this unclassified non-coding RNA (216 nucleotides) under Hevea brasiliensis (rubber tree). The record is from RNAcentral. Lineage: Eukaryota; Viridiplantae; Streptophyta; Magnoliopsida; Malpighiales; Euphorbiaceae.